CGCGUAGGCGGCUUUAUAAGUCAGAUGUGAAAGCCCACGGCUUAACUGUGGAAGUGCAUUUGAAACUGUGAAGCUUGAGUAUCGGAGGGGAGUGUGGAAUUCCCGGUGUAGAGGUGAAAUUCGUAGAGAUCGGGAGGAACACCGGUGGCGAGGCGACACUCUGGACGAAUACUGACGCUGAGGCGCGAAAGCGUGGGGAGCAAACA
Molecule: ribosomal RNA, 206 nt
Filed under: uncultured bacterium
Lineage: Bacteria
Description: partial 16S ribosomal RNA
Rfam family: Bacterial small subunit ribosomal RNA
Source: RNAcentral